CCAGAGAUAUCUACACUCUACUCACACUUUACAAACUCUCAACUACACUCAACUGAAAUUAAUAUAUCAACUCUUUGCAUUCGGAUCUUGCGUUGUUUCUCGGCUCUCACAUCAAGGUUUUAAAAUUUUUGUCGGCUUUUCACAUCUCCCUCUUGCAUUGUUGUAAGUUCUUUCAAAUAUGACAUAGUGAAAGGAUAAAUUGUUUUUGUAGUUUUGAUUUUACUUUGUUCUGUUAUAUUUUGAUCUUUUCCUUCA
Helianthus annuus (common sunflower) is the source of this 255-nucleotide long non-coding RNA. RefSeq lists it as uncharacterized. The transcript is spliced from 2 exons. The record is from RefSeq and is a predicted model, not a curated record. Lineage: Eukaryota; Viridiplantae; Streptophyta; Magnoliopsida; Asterales; Asteraceae.